Molecule: non-coding RNA, 656 nt
Filed under: Pongo abelii (Sumatran orangutan)
Lineage: Eukaryota; Metazoa; Chordata; Mammalia; Primates; Hominidae
Source: RNAcentral
GAGGUGGGCAAGUUAGUUGCUCCAAAUACAAGAUAAAGUGAUUGAGUUCUUUUCUCAAGCGGGAGUCGGAGUUUAUCCACUCUUAGAAAUAUUGAUGAUAAAGAGGAAACUAACUUUCUGAACCAUUAAAUGUGAUAUCAUUUAUCUCACCAAAUCCCAAGAUAGAUGCCUCCCACAUUGCCUGUGACUUUACAGAAGCUUGGAGUCUAAAUUAUGUGGCUGCUAUUAGUAACAACUUCAAGACCGAAGACUGUUGGGCUAUUGGCUCCACCGUGGGCACCACUAGGUUUAAACUCAAACAGCCAGAUGAGACCACUCGAACCUUGGCAGUUACCAGUUCAGAGGAGCAGCCUAACCCAGCCACUCCACAGUUGCAAUUUGAGAGCAUCUAGAGGACACCACAUACAUCUUUUCACCCGGUCUCUGCUGCCACAGAUGAAACCUCCUCAAUGCCCCCAAGAAGCCAUCUUGGGCAGGAAAAAGAGAGCCCCAGCAGCUACUAUUAAUGAGUGUCUGGAAUAUGUUCCUGGCAUUUCACCUACACUCUCUCCAAUCCUUCCAAGAAACUCACAAAGCAGGGCUUUUUCUUGAACUUCUCUUCCUCACAACAGUUAAAUCAUCCAUUUAAAGAUGUCAGACAAGCUCUGUGUUCUAAG